This 64-nucleotide transfer RNA is filed under the name Mactra antiquata. RNAcentral describes it as "tRNA-Trp". The record is from RNAcentral. Lineage: Eukaryota; Metazoa; Mollusca; Bivalvia; Venerida; Mactridae.
GGAGGGUUAAGUUAUAAAGACUACAGUACUUCAAAUACUGAAGAGGGAGGGUUCUCACUUUCCG